Non-coding RNA from Kogia breviceps (pygmy sperm whale), 595 nucleotides. The record is from RefSeq and is a predicted model, not a curated record. Lineage: Eukaryota; Metazoa; Chordata; Mammalia; Artiodactyla; Physeteridae.
AGAAAAAACUGGAAUCGUCUACAUAAUUAGAGGAAUGAAAUCAAUAUUGGAUAUUGGUGAAUACAGAGGCAAUUUUCCAAAAGGAGAAGGUGGAGAACCCACAGCUAAUUUGAUCCUGGGCAAGACUCAAGAAAGGAUUAUUUAAGGCUGCACCGGGUCUUAGUUGUUGGAAGCAGGAUCUUCGUUGCGGCUUGCAGCAUGUAUGCGAGAUCUAGUUCCCAACCAGGGAUCUAACCUGGGCCGCCUGCAUUGGGAGCACGGAGUCUUACCCACUGGACCACCAGGGAAGUCCCUGUAUUUUAAGUUUAAAGGCUAUGUGUGUUUUUAUACUGUAAGGCAUCUCACAACCAAUUUUCAAGGUCAGCUUUGACUAAUGAAGGUAUUUAUGACUGGAAAUAUUUAGGUUCCUGAAUAAAAGAACAGAAAUGUCACUGGCACAUACAAAAACAUAUAUGCUAUUACUGGAACUGGAAAAAAAAAGGCUGAAUAAACAACAAAUGAUGAUAGCUUCACCAUCAGAAGUAAACACUGAUGUAGGACGUUAUUAUAAUACUCUUAAAGUAACAUUAUUUUAACAGCACAACAUUUCAGAGAA